This 502-nucleotide ribosomal RNA is filed under the name uncultured bacterium. Its description in RNAcentral is "partial 16S ribosomal RNA". It matches the Rfam family "Bacterial small subunit ribosomal RNA", at positions 28 to 507 of the family's 1533-position model. The record is from RNAcentral.
GACGAACGCUGGCGGCGUGCUUAACACAUGCAAGUCGAACGGUGAAGGGGUCUGCUUUUGUGGGCCCUGGAUGAGUGGCGAACGGGUGAGUAACACGUGAGUAACCUGCCCCCUUCUUCUGGAUAACCGCAUGAAAGUGUGGCUAAUACGGGAUAUUCUGGGUCUGUCGCAUGAUGGGUCUGGGAAAGAUUGCGCCUUUGGGUGUUUUUGGUGGGGGAUGGGCUCGCGGCCUAUCAGCUUGUUGGUGGGGUGAUGGCCUACCAAGGCGGUGACGGGUAGCCGGCCUGAGAGGGUGGACGGUCACACUGGGACUGAGACACGGCCCAGACUCCUACGGGAGGCAGCAGUGGGGAAGAUUGCACAAUGGGCGCAAGCCUGAUGUAGCGACGCCGCGUGAGGGAGGGAGGCCUUCGGGUUGUAAACCUCUUUCGCCAGUGAAGCAGGCCUGCUCCUUGUGGGUGGGUUGACGGUAGCUGGAUAAGAAGCGCCGGCUAACUACGUG